AACGGAGUUAGCCGGUGCUUAUUCGCCGGGUACCGUCAUCAUCACCCCCGGCAAAAGGGCUUUACAACCCGAAGGCCUUCGUCACCCACGCGGCGUCGCUGGAUCAGGGUUGCCCCCAUUGUCCAAGAUUCCCCACUGCUGCCUCCCGUAGGAGUCUGGGCCGUGUCUCAGUCCCAGUGUGGCCGAUCAUCCUCUCAGACCGGCUACCGAUCGUCGCCUUGGUAGGCCGUUACCCCACCAACCAGCUAAUCGGACGCGGGUCCAUCCCAGGGUGGCAAUGCCUUUCGCCUCUCGGCCGUAUCCGGUAUUAGCGGCAGUUUCCCGCCGUUGUCCCGAGCCCCGGGGCAGGUCCCCACGCGUUACUCACCCGUGCGCCACUGACGGACCCGAAAGCCCGCCCGUACGACUUGCAUGUGUUAAGCGCGCCGCCAGCGUUCGUUCUGAGCCAGGAUCAAACUCU
This 460-nucleotide ribosomal RNA is filed under the name uncultured Alphaproteobacteria bacterium. RNAcentral describes it as "partial 16S ribosomal RNA". Lineage: Bacteria; Pseudomonadati; Pseudomonadota; Alphaproteobacteria. The record is from RNAcentral.